Molecule: ribosomal RNA, 407 nt
Filed under: Verrucomicrobiota bacterium
Lineage: Bacteria; Pseudomonadati; Verrucomicrobiota
Description: Verrucomicrobia bacterium partial 16S ribosomal RNA
Rfam family: Bacterial small subunit ribosomal RNA
Source: RNAcentral
UGGGGAAUAUUGGACAAUGGAGGAAACUCUGAUCCAGCAAUUCUGUGUGUGUGAAGAAGGUUUUAGGACUGUAAAACACUUUUAGUAGGGAAGAAAAAAAUGACGGUACCUACAGAAGAAGCAACGGCUAAAUACGUGCCAGCAGCCGCGGUAAUACGUAUGUUGCGAGCGUUAUCCGGAAUUAUUGGGCUUAAAGGGCAUCUAGGCGGUAAGACAAGUUGAAGGUGAAAACCUGUGGCUCAACCAUAGGCUUGCCUACAAAACUGUUGAACUAGAGUACUGGAAAGGUGGGUGGAACUACACGAGUAGAGGUGAAAUUCGUAGAUAUGUGUAGGAAUGCCGAUGAUGAAGAUAACUCACUGGACAGAAACUGACGUUGAAGUGCGAAAGCUAGGGGAGCAAACAGG